AGCGGUAGAGAGGUGCUUGCACCUCUUGAGAGCGGCGGACGGGUGAGUAAAGCCUAGGAAUCUGCCUGGUAGUGGGGGAUAACGCUCGGAAACGGACGCUAAUACCGCAUACGUCCUACGGGAGAAAGCAGGGGACCUUCGGGCCUUGCGCUAUCAGAUGAGCCUAGGUCGGAUUAGCUAGUUGGUGAGGUAAUGGCUCACCAAGGCGACGAUCCGUAACUGGUCUGAGAGGAUGAUCAGUCACACUGGAACUGAGACACGGUCCAGACUCCUACGGGAGGCAGCAGUGGGGAAUAUUGGACAAUGGGCGAAAGCCUGAUCCAGCCAUGCCGCGUGUGUGAAGAAGGUCUUCGGAUUGUAAAGCACUUUAAGUUGGGAGGAAGGGCAUUAACCUAAUACGUUAGUGUUUUGACGUUACCGACAGAAUAAGCACCGGCUAACUCUGUGCCAGCAGCCGCGGUAAUACAGAGGGUGCAAGCGUUAAUCGGAAUUACUGGGCGUAAAGCGCGCGUAGGUGGUUCGUUAAGUUGGAUGUGAAAUCCCCGGGCUCAACCUGGGAACUGCAUUCAAAACUGUCGAGCUAGAGUAUGGUAGAGGGUGGUGGAAUUUCCUGUGUAGCGGUGAAAUGCGUAGAUAUAGGAAGGAACACCAGUGGCGAAAGCGACCACCUGGACUGAUACUG
RNAcentral lists this ribosomal RNA (682 nucleotides) under Pseudomonas brassicacearum. Its description in RNAcentral is "bacterial SSU rRNA". It matches the Rfam family "Bacterial small subunit ribosomal RNA", at positions 65 to 742 of the family's 1533-position model. The record is from RNAcentral. Lineage: Bacteria; Pseudomonadati; Pseudomonadota; Gammaproteobacteria; Pseudomonadales; Pseudomonadaceae.